CCUACGGGCGGCAGCAGUGAGGAAUAUUGGUCAAUGGACGAGAGUCUGAACCAGCCAAGUAGCGUGAAGGAUGACUGCCCUAUGGGUUGUAAACUUCUUUUAUAUGGGAAUAAAAUGUUCCACGUGUGGGAUUUUGUAUGUACCAUAUGAAUAAGGAUCGGCUAACUCCGUGCCAGCAGCCGCGGUAAUACGGAGGAUCCGAGCGUUAUCCGGAUUUAUUGGGUUUAAAGGGAGCGUAGGUGGAUUGUUAAGUCAGUUGUGAAAGUUUGCUGCUCAACCGUAAAAUUGCAGUUGAAACUGGCAGUCUUGAGUACAGUAGAGGUGGGCGGAAUUCGGGGUGUAGCGGUGAAAUGCUUAGAUAUCACGAAGAACUCCGAUUGCGAAGGCAGUUCACUGGACUGCAACUGACACUGAGGCUCGAAAGUGUGGGUAUCAAACAGGAUUAGAUACCCAGUAGUC
RNAcentral lists this ribosomal RNA (459 nucleotides) under uncultured bacterium. Its description in RNAcentral is "partial 16S ribosomal RNA". It matches the Rfam family "Bacterial small subunit ribosomal RNA", at positions 338 to 795 of the family's 1533-position model. The record is from RNAcentral.